GAUGAAGAACGCAGCGAAAUGCAAUACUUGGUGUGAAUUGCAGAAUCCCGUGAACCAUCGAGUCUUUGAACGCAAGUUGCGCCCGAAGCCAUUAGGCCGAGGGCACGCCUGCCUGGGCGUCACACGUCGUUGCCCCCCCAUCUACUCCUUCGGGAUUGCGGGGGGCGGAUGAUGGCCUCCCGUGCGCCUCGCCGCGCGGUUGGCAUAAAUGCCAAGUCCUCGGCGACGCACGCCACGACAAUCGGUGGUUGCGAAACCUCGGUUGCCCGUCGUGUGCGGUCGUCGCGCAUCGAGGGCUCGAAAAAAUUGCCGGGUUCCGGCUCGGCUUUCAACGCGACCCCAGGUCAGGCGGGGUUACCCGCUGAAUUUAAGCAUAUCAAUAAGCGGAGGA
Molecule: unclassified non-coding RNA, 391 nt
Filed under: soil metagenome
Description: partial contains 5.8S ribosomal RNA, internal transcribed spacer 2, and large subunit ribosomal RNA
Rfam family: 5.8S ribosomal RNA (bases 1-122)
Source: RNAcentral